GGAAAGUGCAUAUUUUGUUGCUCAAGGAUGUGUCACCCCGUAACUGUCAGUGGAAUAUUCUUGUGCGCAUCCCACGAUCUGGGGAUACAGAGAUCAACCGAUGCCCCUCUAUGAACUAGACAUUAUAGUCAUAGAUCAUGAGAUAGGGCGAAGUGGUCAUGCCCUCGCAUUUUUCCACGGUGCGAGACCGGCCGCGCGGAGGCAGAUGACCGGUUUCCGCCGCUGCUAACCUGCCUUUAUUCUCAUGGGGAGUGACGCCAUCUCUGCUUCUCACACCGUUGCCUCAUGCAGCCGGUGAUACACCACCCCUAGCCGACGAGGUGUUCCGUGGAGGUGCCUUACCGCGACAUCCCACUCAGACCCGCCAGCUCGGUCUCUGAUUUGACUACAACAUUUCCAGUGACAGGAAUCCUGAACUAACGAUCUCAACAUCAAAAUUCGGUGUGAUAUUGAAUAGAGACUUUGACAAGUUUUGUUCAUUAUUUGUUUUCAGGUAAUCUUACAGGGAAGAAUCACAGGUUUUAGAAAUAUGGAGAGAAGGUCACGUGUACGAGCAACGUUGCACCACAGGCCCAAUAUGAUAUGGCGUCAAGUGGAUUAUACCAUGAUGAAGGGAAACCGAGUAUCUGACAAAGAUUUAAAUCAUCACAAAUAGUUGUGAUCCUCUUCUUGAUCAAGGAAAGAAGAGGAAAGUGUUGAUGCAUCUGAUCAAACAAUAAUGCUGCACCAGUCACAGGUGAUACUUCAUGGGAAGUUCUGGAAGUUUUAGUCCCAUCAAUGAUCAAUCCAGUGAGUAGACAAACCGCUUAUUCUGAGCCCUGAACAGGCUCUCAUGCUGGACUUCAUGAAUCCCAUGAAGGUCCAAAUAUUAUGCACAUCAGACUGUUGCUGAUGAAGAAAAACCACCAUUUCUGAUCAGCUAGCCAAGCAAGUAAUUCAGUUCCUACCAGUGGUGAUGAUCCAGUUCUUUGUUUAUUUCUAUUUCUUCGUUUUUUUUCAGGAUGUAUCGUCAGCUUUUACUUGGCUGUUCGAGGAAAAUAGUUGUUGCUUUUCUCCAGACCUCAAAAAUCAGGACAUCGUAAAAGUUCUGUUAGGAAUUGGAUUAUUUAUUUCCAAAAAAUUGUCUGUUAGAAAAUUUGACUCA
Lolium perenne is the source of this 1144-nucleotide long non-coding RNA. RefSeq lists it as uncharacterized. The record is from RefSeq and is a predicted model, not a curated record. Lineage: Eukaryota; Viridiplantae; Streptophyta; Magnoliopsida; Poales; Poaceae.